This 6324-nucleotide long non-coding RNA is filed under the name Gossypium barbadense (sea-island cotton). Its description in RNAcentral is "long non-coding RNA (GBAR_LNC007257)". Lineage: Eukaryota; Viridiplantae; Streptophyta; Magnoliopsida; Malvales; Malvaceae. The record is from RNAcentral.
AAUAAAAUAAAAAUAAAUUUUAUUUUCGGCUCAUAUUUGUGGUCCCAAACCACUGUUCUGAUUUCACUGAAAUUGGGCUGUUACACAAACUCUCCAAAACUAGAGAAGAAAAUCAGUAAAAGAGAAAAACCCUAUGGAGAGCCAAGAUUUAGUAGAUUAUCGAAUUGAAAAAAUUAAGUUUUCCAAGAACCAAAGCAAAAACCCAAUUAGCAUGAAAGACAGUAAUUUGACCAACCCGUCGCAACCACUCUCUUGACCAACUCUGGUGUUUCUUUGAUAUAGAACCGUUCAUUUGAUAAUCGACGUCCCUCUCUUGCCAACACAUGGGCUGCCUCAUUCGCAUCUCUCCCCACAUGGUGAAAGGUAACAGUGGCAAACAAACCCAUUUUAUGCUUAAUGUUUGCAACGACUAGGCCUAAAAUUGACCUGUCUAGUGUGUCCGAUUGUAGUUUUUCAUAAUCGCAAAAGAGUCCCCUUCGAUCUGAAUAGACUGGAACCCAAGCUCCCUCGCAAACCAAAUCGCCUGUUCGCAUGCCUGAGCCUUUGCCACAAACGUAUCUGCAACAUGAGAGUGAGGGUAAGUACAAGCCCCUAUUAUCAAACCCAUUUCGUUUCAUACAAUAAUGCCUAAGAAGGAUCUAUUUUCAUGCACAUUAAAAGAUGAGUCAAAAUUAAUUUUUAUAGUGCCCUACUCGGGUGGCCUUUAAUAAGUAGUCUUAGAUAUACAAACAGAUGAGCUCUCCUCUAAUAGUGAUUCUAGUUUUUUCGUAUACUCUAAAAUAAACCCUGAUAUAUCUUGAAUUGAUUGUUUGAUGCCAUCAUGCGCCAAUCAAUUUCUGGCAAACCAAAUAGACCAUAUUAUUACUGUCAAUAACUUCUUAUUUUUGUCAUUUGCCAUGUUGAAUGAUUCCAUUAACCAAUAUCUAUGGUCUGAGUGCUUUGAGACAGGCAAUUUGAUAACAUGCAAAAAGUCUAGAACUUGUUUUGUAAUUGAACAAAACCUAAAGAGAUGGUCCACUGAUUUAGUACCUUCAAGGCACAACGGGCAAGCACCAGGACUAAGGAGAUUUCUCUUAGUUAGGUUAGCAUAAGUAGGUAUGUAGUCAUUGUAGACUUUCCACAACUGAAUUUUUAUUUUUUUGUGAAAUUUGUAAGCCCAUAGAGCUGAGAAAAAACUUGUACCCAGGGUUAUAGUAGGCUUGUUAGGAGCUCUCUGGUUGGAAAAUAUUUCAUGUAACAGUAGCUUGUAUCCACUUUUGGACUGUAUACUCUCUCGUUCCUUUAAUGUAACACCCUUACCCGCAUUCAACGCCGGAACAGGGUACGAGGCAUUACCGAACUUAUCACACGAACAACCAUACAAUUCUAAGUCAUGAAUUUGCGUCCAAAUUAAAACCAUUUACAUUUAAUCAUAAAGUCCCUGAUACGAGCCUACGGGGCUGAAAACGUGUAUUGGAAGUGAUUCAGAACUAAACCGAGAACUUUAGAAAAUUUUACAGAACUUAGAAAACUUUCCACUAAAAAGGGGUCACACACCCGUGUGGAUAUAGGGCAUGCCCGUGUGGGAAGGCCAUGUGGUCACUCACGUCCGUGUCCCGACCCCGUGUCACUCUCUGACUUGUAACUCAUGAACAAAUUGAGAUCACAUGGCCAAGUCACACGCCCGUGUGCUAGGCUGUGUGGAAUAUAAAUUUUCAUAAAAUAGGUGCAGACUUGCCACGGCUAAGGCACACACCCAUGUUCGAGGCCAUACCGUCCACACGGCUAAAGCCCACAUCCGUGUCUCUGUCCGUGUGCUCAAUUUUGAGCAUUCUGUUUCUCAAAAUUAAGGUACAGGGGACACACGGCCUAAACACAUGCUCAUGGGGCAAACCGAGUGUCGUACACGGCCUAGACACACCCAUGUGGACAAAAAUAAGGCUAUUUACCAAGCUAUUUUGCCACUCUUUUAUGCACACUACACAACAUAACAUAGCACCAAUCCAAGCAUAUACAUACAACCAAACAUCCAUAACUAAGACAUCAACACAUCAUUCAUGAAAGACAUUAUUAUAUGAAUAUAUUUAUAACCGAUAUUAGCCCAUUUUCAAUAGCCUUAUCCAAAAUGAAUUUCUAACCAAUAUAAGCCAACACAUUUGGCAAAAUCAAUUAUGGCACAUAACAAAAUGACCAAGUCCCCUAUACAUGCCAUAACUCAAAAUGUUGAAUUCCUUAAUACCAAAAUAUUUUUUAAUAGUGUGAAUGGAUCUCUGACGAUCUCCAAACCCGAGCUAGCUUGGUGUCACUAUAAGAUAAGGGAAAGAAAGGUGAGUAAGCUAUAUAGCUUAGUAAGUUCAUAUGCAAAUAAUAAGUAUCUUAACCACACUUUAAUCAUGCAAUUUAUAUAAAGUAAGAUAACAUAAAUAUUACUAAUAUCUUAUAGUCAUAACUUGCUCAAUCACAACCUUACCAAGAGUUUAUCACCUAUCGAGUUUAUUACUUACGAGUUUUACGUACAUACCUGUACCAACUCGUAACAUAACCACAUCCUUUCGCAUCUUGACAUUCUCGUUGAACACUUGGAAUAUUAUCCGAAAAAUCUUGUACAUAAGUGUCAUAUAUGGAGCUAAAGCUACCUCAUAUCUCAUAACACAUAUAGGCUCGCUCAUGAGCUAUUCACGGGCCUACUCAUACAAGUUGUCAGUCACGAUGUAGCUACAUAGUGCUGUUCACACAAGCUGUCAGGUAUUCGCAACAUAUGUCGGAAUACCCAGCCACUAUUAGGACGUACGAUACCAGCACCCAGAUCACAUAAACACAUAUACACAUGGGUUCCUAGUGACAUGUCAUUAUUAUCCGAUUCUAUUCCUAAGGUUCAAUCGGGAUUCCUAGCUUGUCGAAACUUUGUCGAAUAAAAUUCAGAGAGUCAAUCACACAAUACAUGCAAUAUUAAAACAUUUAAAACAUAAAUAUUACAUUGCAUUAUUUACAUACAAACUUACCUUAGUACGAAAAAUAGUAGAAUUGGACCUAAUCGUCAAACACUUUGUUUUUCCCCCGAUCUAGGUCUGAACCUCGUUUUUCUUGAUCUAUAAUAACAAAUUUAACUCAUUUAACACUCACAUUAUUAAAUUUAGCCCAAAAAUCACAUUAUGACAAAAUUAUAUUUUUCCCCUAAUGUUUCACAUUUUUACAAUUUAGUCCCUAGGCUCGUAAAAUGAAAUGCAUUCAAUUUCUUCAAAACCCAAGCCUAGUUGAACCAUUUUCAUACUCAUAUCAGCCCACAUUUUCCACUUAAUCACACUUUUACUACUCAUUUUAUAACUUUUACAAAUAAGUCCUUUUGACAUUUUUACCAAAAAAUCACUUCGCAAAAGUUGUUUAUCUAACACCAAACAUGCAUUUUCUACCAUUAGACAUCAAAAUACACAAAUAUCUAACAUGGGUAAAAUUUUAAACUUCAUCUUUCUUUCAAAUUAGUCCUUGAAAUAGCUAGAUUAGAUUACAAGGAUUUCAAAAACAUGAAAAUAAUUAAAAACAGGGCUAGAAUGGACUUACAAUUGAGCUUGAAAGCUUGGAAAACCCUAGCUAUGUCUUCUCUUGUGAUUUUCAGCCAUGGGAGGAUGAAAUUGAGAAGAUGACAUCUUUUAUUUGUUAAAUUUUUUCUUUAUUAGCCAAAUGACCAAAAUGCCCUUAAUGCCAAACUUUAAAAUUUCACCCUCCUAUGUCCAUUUUUGUCCAACUCAAAUUAUAAUGGUCUAAUUACCAUUUAAGGACCUCCAAUUUAAAAUUUCAUAGCAAUUAGACACCUCUAGCUUCUAGAACACACAUUUCACCUAUUACAAAUUAGUCCUCUUAGUCAAAUUGGACACCUUAUGGAUUAAAUUUCUUAACGAAAUUUUCACCACAAUCAUUCAAUCAUACUGCAGACCAUAAAAAUAUAAUAAGAUAAAUAAACUUUCUACGUCGAAUUCAUGGUCCCGAAACCACUGUUUUAACUAGACCCAAAGUCGGGAUGUUACAUUUAACUUGCCAAAUUUUGAGAUUAAGUGGUUUCAUCUAAGCUAUAGGGAUGGAUAAGAUAGUUAUGUUAGUUUUUUCCUAUAGUUGAUUUGUAGAAAAAAGUAGUAUUACUAUCCCUAUGCUUCAGCCAAUUAAUACGUGCCUUUUGCUCCUAAUACAUUUCCUCUUUGUCUGCCUCAAAGUUCAAAUCUAACUGAAUAUUUGUCAAUUCCGAGAGAGUAUCAUCAUUCGGUUCCUUCGUUAGUAGCACGCGCAAUCUAUCCUCCAAGUGUUUCUUACAAGCCAUGCGAUAUUGUUUUAGUUUAGAACUCCAAUCCAUGGGUCGAUGUCCCAAACCAUUUAAUUUCUCGGGUAAAUUUUCUGAAAUAGAGCCCCAGUACUCUUAGAUAACUGUCUCACACUCACCCUCCAAACACCAAUCAGCAUUAAAUUUGAAUCUCCUCUACCCCAUCCCAUGGUUUUUUAUAUCUUGAUUUUUUGUUGCCACUAAAUUCAGACAAUGGUUAGAAAUGGAAUGUAAUAAGUGAUUAACCAAAACAUCAGGAAAUUGACACCACCACGUCGUAUUUGCUAUACCCCGAUCAAGUCAUUCCCGGAUAUUUGCUGCUGUAAAUUUACCCCUAUCCCAAAUGUACCAUUUCCCAUUGUAACCCAAAUCACUAAGAUCACAAUCGGCCAAUGUAGAACAAAAAGCUUCCAUUUGGCUUUCUGCUCGAAUUCGACCACUUGAUUUUUUCAAAAGAGAAAACAAUUUCGUUAAAAUCACCCACCACUAACCAAGAUAAUUUUUUAUCCUGACCUAGCUUGCAAAGAAGAUUCUAGGUAGAAUCUCGUAAGCAUUCCUCAAAAUGGCCAUAAAACCCAAUAAAGCGCCAUUAAAUUCCACUAUAGUCCUUGUGCACUUCCACAUCUAUAUGGUGGUUAGAAAAAAUUCGUAGAAUCACCACCUCAUUUUGCCUCAACCCUAAACAAAACCCACCUUUUAAACCAUCGGCUCCAACUUCAAUUCCAUUGUGAAAUCCAUAUUUCCUUCGGAUACUUUCCAUCCUCCUCACACUUAAUUUUGUUUCCAUUAGAAUCAAAAUUUGGGGAUAAAUGACUCUCAGUUUAUUCCUGGAACGAUAAACUACUUGCGAAUUCCCCAGUCCACGGACAUUCCAGCUUAGUAUUUUCAUAAUGCCUAGCUGCCCUAUCUAACAGAGCCAAUAAAUAAUUCAUCAAUGCCUUCAGACACAUAUGUUCCUCAAAUUGUUCAUUGUCGUUUCUUCCCAUUAUCUGAGUGAAUGGGGUUGUUUUCACCAUCAGAACCAAAGUCCAUAAACCCAGCAACCAUACCAAUACCACCACCCGGCCCAAUACCAUCAUUACAAUCCCUAGUAAAUCCAGAAAGAAUCACCUCACUGAUAAUCGAAUUCCUCUGAUUGAUAUUACCCCCCGAAUUAUGCACUAAGACCCUAAUAUUAUGUACCAUUGAUUCCUUUUCCUUUUUCGCAUAUCGCAAAUCCAUACAAUCUAGCUGACGUAGCCAACGAUUGAUUUUCACCUGUCUUUCCCUAACCAUGGCUCGCAAAGUAGCAUCCUAACCAAACACAAUUUUAGAUGGGUCAACAUGAACCCUCACCAGACAAAAACUUUCCCCGUGUCCAAGCUUUCCACAGAUAAAGCAAAAGAGUCUAAGUUUUUCAUAUUGAAACUGAGCAUAAUACAAUUGAUCAUCCACCUGAACCUUUUUCCUCCUUUCAAGGGCUCACAUCCAGUCGAACUUUUAUUCUCUUAUACCGUUGCAACACUAAAGAUGGAAUUCGUGUAUCAUAUUCCAUGAACUCACCCAAGAACGCCCCAAAACAUUUAGCCAUUGUUUCUGACAUAAGACUCGGAGGCAGAUCAUGGAUUUGAAUCCAAAACACAUCAUAAUUCAGUGGGAUUGUGAGUGAAUCUUCUUUCAUUUGCAAUUUAUGUAGUAAUAAUAAAUGGUUAUUAAAAAACCACGGAAGACUUUCUAAAACUCUGUUCAUAUCAACCGCAUGAAAGAACUUAAAUAAAUAGUGUUUCUCCCCUAUAUCAGUUAUAGCAAUACCUUUAAUAGGAUGCCAUAAACCAGCCAUAGUAUUCUGAAGAGAGGAAAAAUGAACCACGCUAUCUGUCAAAUAGGUUCCAACUAGAGAAAACUCCAGAUCUCAUUCCAUCACUUUGGCAUCCUCCUUGAAAGCAUCCUCUUCCUCAUCCGAAAGGUGAAGAUUCGCUAGAUCAUCAUCUAUUGAGCACCAAUCGGAACCGAAAACCAGAAUGACCUAAAGAAAACCACAAGAAACUAAAAAAACA